UACAGAGGGUGCGAGCGUUAAUCGGAAUUACUGGGCGUAAAGCGUGCGUAGACGGUUAUUUAAGUCGGGUGUGAAAGCCCCGGGCUCAACCUGGGAAUUGCAUUUGAGACUGCGUAGCUAGGGUGCGGAAGAGGGAAGCGGAAUUUCCGGUGUAGCGGUGAAAUGCGUAGAUAUCGGAAGGAACACCAGUGGCGAAAGCGGCUUCCUGGUCCAGCACCGACGUCAGGCACGAAAGCGUGGGGAGCAAACAGG
RNAcentral lists this ribosomal RNA (252 nucleotides) under uncultured bacterium. RNAcentral describes it as "partial 16S ribosomal RNA". It matches the Rfam family "Bacterial small subunit ribosomal RNA", at positions 524 to 776 of the family's 1533-position model. The record is from RNAcentral.